UGGCGCUGCAGAUUAUCACGACCUUCACCUUUUGAUAAACCACUUACCUGAUUUCCAAAACAGACAGGUGCGAAUUUCAAGAAAUACAACACUACUUUAACUACAAAGGAACAUAUAAUUCAAGAUAGAUUUCAUAUUAGUAUUCAGUAUAUUUGAAAUGGGUGACAUAUCGACAUUGACCAAUUCGCUUGCUAAGAACGAUGCAUUGCUGUAAAUUUCUAUGAUGAGUUUAUUUCUACUAGAUGAAAUAAAAUAUUGUACGUGCUAUAAAUCUAUGAAUAUGAUGUUUCCCUGCCUAAACUGACCACAACACUAACACAGUGGAUAUUGAAACUCAAAACAGGUAAACUAUCAUAUGGUGGGGAUAGCCGAAAAUAAAUGUAUCAAUAUUUGUAUAAUUGCUGUCUUCAUGUUACGACUAAAAAUGUACAUGAUCAAUGACAAUAUAGACCAUGGGACAAUGACAAUGCAUAUCUUUAUAUAAUCUAAUAAGAAUCAUGGUAAUCAUAAUAUUUACAAAGAAGACACUAUAUACUAACAAAAUUAAAUAUGUAAUAUUGGGUUCCCAUGAAAACGGAAAUUCUAUUGCAGACCAAGAAUAAUGCCCUUGAAAAGAAAAUAGGGAUAAAGAAAAAGUGGAUAUUUAAAUUCCACCCACUUCCAUCCUGCCCUGGACAGUCUAUAUAACAUGAUGCUCAGGACCAACCUAUUGAAAGUAUUUUUACUUUUUUGUUGUUUGGAAAAUUUAUGAAAAAUUUGCCACUGGAUUUUAAGCAACCAACAAUCAAUUUCUAAAUCCAAACUUAACGUUCCCCUAUCAAGUAUAUUAAUAAACAAGUUCAAUAUAGGUGGAAUAUGCACUCCAGGUCAAUUUCAUAGGGUGCAGCAUAGGUAGGUUCAAUUAGUCCGAGAUAACUCUGACGUCCAACGGCUGUUUUGCAAGACAAGCUGGGGCCGUGGGAUGUCAGAGCUCGUCCAAUAUCAAGUGGAUAUUUGCCCACCCAAAAUAGAAGCGUUGCUUCUGGUGCAGACUGACGGCCUUGGAAUUAUAUAAAUCGGGCAUCAAUCUUUUCAUUUAUCUUUUCAUUUAUGUAAGUUUCACCUACCUGCCAACCUUUAUUUUUCCAUAUUUUAACAGUUUUUACAGAGACCCAUAUUGAUUUCUGCAUUUUGACUUUCACUUUCAAAUGGACGUCAAGAUACGAGUGAGUUUGUGGCCUCGAGACUUCAGUAUGCAAAUUUUUAUACUUUUUUCACUUCCAUUACAGGAGAUCGAUGUUUAACAUUUAGUAGCCAACCACGAUUUUUCACCUCCUUUACAGGAGAUCCUUAUUGAGCAUUUAGUGCCAACCACAAUAACAAUCAGAAGCUCUCGGACAUUUAGAUUACUUGCAUAGUAAAUAAACGAGGUGUUCGAUUAUGGUCAUUUGCAUAAAUCAUCACUUUUUUCUCGAGGUCAUGUGAUAAUCUUUACGUCUUUUUGAAAAUUAAAGUCAAAAUGUCUGAAUCGAUGCAUGGGUCACUGUGAAAACUGUUAAAAUAUGGAAAAAUAAAGGUUGGCAGGUAGGCGAAACUUACAUAAAUGAAAAGAUAAAUGAAAAUGAAGCAGAUGAAGCGCGAUUUAUAUAAUUCCAAGGCCGUUAAACGGCACCAGAAGCGACAAAGCAGCGCAUCUAUUUUGGAUGGGCAAAUAUCCACUUUUUGAUAUGGGACGAGCUCUGACAUCCCACGGCCCAGCUUGUCUGGCAAAACAGCCGUUGGACGUCAGAGUAAUCUCUGACUAAGGUUCAAUGUACCUUGGGCGGAUCCAACCAUUUUAAAUGGGGGUGGUUCCCAACUAUAUGUCCCCAUUCAAAUGCAUUGAUUGGCCGAUGGUAACUGCCUAUACCAUGUAUAAAAAUUCUGUACACUUGUUUCCAUCUUAUCUUAGACAUUAUACAUAAUUUGAGCCCAAAAAGCAAUGUCAUAUUUUAUACCAUCAGACUUCGUCAUACAAUAUUGACUGGAAUUCAAGUACAGUCUGAGUAAUAAUAAGACUGCAACUAUUGAUUUGGAUAUGACUAAGGUGUCAUUUAAUUUGACAGCUUUGAAAAUGGGUGUCAAACAGACUUCACAUCUUUAUUAAAACAGAUUAUUAUCUUCUAUAUCUUUAUGCUGUACGAAGGUACAAUCUGUUUAUUAAGCAGUCAGAAUCAAUUCUUGUAGAGUUACUACCCUUAUUUUUAGUACAUGUAUAUUUUCAAAAUUCUAGUACAGAAAACAAUGUUUUAAAAUAUCCAUUUUUUGUACAGUAAAUAUGAUAAUUAGAUUAAUUGCAAAUUGAAUGAUUUUAUAUUUACUAUUUGAGUUGACAGGACUUUGAAAUGAAAAAUGAACAAGUUUAUCAAUCAUUUGCAAACUGACAACUUCUACUCUUGCAUGAUUUCAUAACAGUACAUGUAUCUUCAGUACCAGUAAAUAUGAUGGAUCUAAAGGAAAUUAAGUAAUCAAAAGAGACUUUAAAAUGGAGG
This 2510-nucleotide long non-coding RNA is filed under the name Mytilus galloprovincialis (Mediterranean mussel). The record is from RNAcentral. Lineage: Eukaryota; Metazoa; Mollusca; Bivalvia; Mytilida; Mytilidae.